This is a long non-coding RNA of Marmota monax (woodchuck), 662 nucleotides long. RefSeq lists it as uncharacterized. The record is from RefSeq and is a predicted model, not a curated record. NCBI's taxonomy places the organism in Eukaryota, Metazoa, Chordata, Mammalia, Rodentia, Sciuridae. The transcript has 3 exons.
AAGCUGGGUCUCUUGGAUCGGGUUCGCCUUUCUAAUCCUCGUGGUAGCAAUACUAAAGGAAAGCUAUUUACCCCUCUGAAUGUAGAUGCCAUAGAAGAAAGUCCUUCUAAAGAGCCAAAGCCUGCUGGCUUAAACAAUAAAGAGUGCUUCCGCACCGCCUUCCGCAUGAAAGCCUACGCUUUCUGGCAGAGCUCCCAAGAUGCUGGGACAGGCUAUCCCAUGGCAGAAGACAGGGGCUACGGAAAUGACUUCCUCAUCGAGACAUGAUCCCCACUCUCAAGGCCACCCUCCGAGCCAUCAGGUGGAGUUUUCAAGGAGCAAUGGAGAGGCUAGGUGACAGGGAGGCUGGUGUAGGAGUGAUCUUGAUGGAAAACAAUGCCUAAUGAAGAAGAGCAGAGCCAUUUGGUAUGCUAGUGGAUGCUGGUGGAAUUGGGCCAACCCAGACUGCAAACAUUCCAGAGCUAGAGGGAAAAACCUGCAAUCCCAGACUGUUAAAUAUGUCAUUGGAGGAUGAGUCACGUGGACAGAAUGCAGAGGAUCAAAUGGAUGGAGUGGGCGUGGCUCUGCAGAACAGUGCAGGUAAGAGACCAGAUGCUGGGUGGAGCCUAUGAAAAAAAGUGGAGAGGACCUAGUGGGCAGAGCUGGUGAGGCAGAGUCAGGCU